Non-coding RNA from Natranaerobius trueperi, 138 nucleotides. Lineage: Bacteria; Bacillati; Bacillota; Clostridia; Natranaerobiales; Natranaerobiaceae. The record is from Rfam.
UGGCCCUUUAAAUUAGUCCUGCGAGGCUAAUAAGGGAGAGUCAUCUAAAUAUAGACUCCUGUAAAGACGGGGGACCUGUGCCAGAUUUAGAUGUAUAACUUCCUAUUAGCCUUGUAUGCAAAUAGGAAGUUUUUUUAU